GGUUAAGUGACUAAGCGUACACGGUGGAUGCCUUGGCAGUCAGAGGCGAUGAAAGACGUAGUAACUUGCGAUAAGCCCAGAUUAGGUAGUAACAACCAUUUGAGUCUGGGAUUUCUGAAUGGGGAAACCCACGUGCAUAAGCACGUAUCCUUACCUGAAUACAUAGGGUAAGGAGGCGAACCGGGGGAACUGAAACAUCUAAGUACCCCGAGGAAAAGAAAUCAACCGAGAUUCCGAAAGUAGCGGCGAGCGAAAUUGGACUAGCCCUUAAGCUUUACACGCGUUAGACGAACGGUCUGGAAAGUCCGACGAUACAGGGUGAUAGUCCCGUAGUUGACGACGUGUGUUCAGUGAAAUCGAGUAGGGCGGGACACGUGAUAUCCUGUCUGAAUAUGGGGGGACCAUCCUCCAAGGCUAAAUACUACUGACUGACCGAUAGUGAACCAGUACCGUGAGGGAAAGGCGAAAAGAACCCCUGUGAGGGGAGUGAAAUAGAACCUGAAACCGUGUACGUACAAGCAGUAGGAGCAGGCUUUGUCCUGUGACUGCGUACCUUUUGUAUAAUGGGUCAGCGACUUAUAUUCAGUGGCAAGGUUAACCAUCUAGGGGAGCCGUAGGGAAACCGAGUCUUAACUGGGCGUUCAGUCUCUGGAUAUAGACCCGAAACCAGGUGAUCUAGCCAUGGGCAGGUUGAAGGUUGAGUAACAUCAACUGGAGGACCGAACCGACUAAUGUUGAAAAAUUAGCGGAUGACUUGUGGCUAGGGGUGAAAGGCCAAUCAAACCUGGAGAUAGCUGGUUCUCCCCGAAAGCUAUUUAGGUAGCGCCUCGGACGAAUACUACUGGGGGUAGAGCACUGUUAAGGCUAGGGGGUCAUCCCGACUUACCAACCCUUUGCAAACUCCGAAUACCAGUAAGUACUAUCCGGGAGACACACGGCGGGUGCUAACGUCCGUCGUGGAGAGGGAAACAACCCAGACCGCCAGCUAAGGUCCCAAAUUACUACUAAGUGGGAAACGAUGUGGGAAGGCUCAGACAGCCAGGAUGUUGGCUUAGAAGCAGCCAUCAUUUAAAGAAAGCGUAAUAGCUCACUGGUCGAGUCGGCCUGCGCGGAAGAUGUAACGGGGCUAAGUAGUAAACCGAAGCUGCGGCAAUGUGCUUUUGCACAUUGGGUAGGGGAGCGUUCUGUAAGCGGUUGAAGGUGUGUGGUAACGCAUGCUGGACGUAUCAGAAGUGCGAAUGCUGACAUGAGUAACGAUAAAGGGGGUGAAAAACCUCCUCGCCGGAAGACCAAGGGUUCCUGUCCAACGUUAAUCGGGGCAGGGUAAGUCGACCCCUAAGGCGAGGCCGAAAGGCGUAGUCGAUGGGAAACGGGUUAAUAUUCCCGUACUUCUUACAAUUGCGAUGGGGGGACGGAGAAGGCUAGGUGGGCCUGGCGACGGUUGU
RNAcentral lists this ribosomal RNA (1445 nucleotides) under Vibrio parahaemolyticus. RNAcentral describes it as "partial 23S ribosomal RNA". It matches the Rfam family "Bacterial large subunit ribosomal RNA", at positions 1 to 1505 of the family's 2925-position model. The record is from RNAcentral. Lineage: Bacteria; Pseudomonadati; Pseudomonadota; Gammaproteobacteria; Vibrionales; Vibrionaceae.